GACGAACGCUGGCGGCGUGCUUAACACAUGCAAGUCGAACGGGAUUUAGUAGACAGAAGCCUCGGCUAAAGAUUACUAAUGAGAGUGGCGAACGGGUGAGUAACGCGUGAGCAACCUGCCUAUGACAGUGGGAUAGCCUCGGGAAACCGGGAUUAAUACCGCAUAAAAUCGUAGAAACACAUGUUUCAACGGUCACAGAUUUAUCGGUCAUAGAUGGGCUCGCGUCUGAUUAGCUAGUUGGUGAGAUAACAGCCCACCAAGGCGACGAUCAGUAGCCGGUCUGAGAGGAUGAACGGCCACAUUGGAACUGAGACACGGUCCAAACUCCUACGGGAGGCAGCAGUGGGGAAUAUUGCACAAUGGGGGAAACCCUGAUGCAGCGACGCCGCGUGAACGAAGAAGGUAUUCGUAUCGUAAAGUUCUGUCCUAUGGGAAGAUAAUGACAGUACCAUAGAAGAAAGCUCCGGCUAAAUACGUG
RNAcentral lists this ribosomal RNA (478 nucleotides) under uncultured bacterium. RNAcentral describes it as "partial 16S ribosomal RNA". It matches the Rfam family "Bacterial small subunit ribosomal RNA", at positions 28 to 507 of the family's 1533-position model. The record is from RNAcentral.